Molecule: long non-coding RNA, 1925 nt
Organism: Poecilia latipinna (sailfin molly)
Lineage: Eukaryota; Metazoa; Chordata; Actinopteri; Cyprinodontiformes; Poeciliidae
Exons: 3
Source: RefSeq, a predicted model, not a curated record
UUUUUUCAUAAUACAGUCCCUUUAGAGAAUUACUUACUUUAAACAAGUUCAUUUUGCUGAAAAGUCUCUCAUAAGUUUGUCUUAUUUCCAGUACUAAGAUAUUUGCACUUGAAACUAGACAAGCUUUUGUGUUCAGAAUGAUUCUACUGGAUCUGCAGUGUGUAACAGGACGGCUUAGAACAGAAUUUUUACACAAACUUGACAAGAUUACUCACCAAACGAUGCACUUCAGCUCUCACACUUUGAUCUCUAUGUCACUCGGUCCUUUAGUCUUUAUUGUAUUUUUUUUUUUUUUUUUUUGGCCCUCCUUUUUUUUUUAAAAAAGGGCAGUCGGCGGGCCAGAUGGAUCAGCAUCUCUCAUCUCUAUUUGGUGUGUUUUUUUUCCUCCCCUGCUACCCUCACAUGUGGGUGGAGGAGAUUGUGUGCGCUUUCAUAUCCACGGGCGGACAUGUGAGUAAUCCCAGGAUGCAAACAUACACGUGUGUGUGUGUGCGUGUGUGUGUGUGUGUGGACGCUGAUGCGCUAAUGUGACCAUUUUUAGGAGGAGUGUGAGUCAUUAAUCUGAAUUGUGUGAGGGAAAUGAUGCCGGCGGCUUUCGCUCGGGUUCAGGUCUGAUGAGACGCGUGUUGAGAAAAUGACCAGAUUCCCACAGCCCAGUGUAGAGCUGAAGAAUCAGCUUUUAGCAAAUCCAUGUGAACAAAUCAUAUAUUUUACUCAUCUUAAUGUGGCAUUGGAUUAAUAUUACGUGUAGAUACACAUCUAACCUUUAAUAAAACGCAACAUCCUAGAAUUUACAUUGGAUAGAUUUUUUUUUUAAAAUUGCACGUAUAGAUGCUGACAGGUUCAAACAACAUGCUCUGUUAUAAGUGACUUGACCCGUAAGCGAAAUUAGUUAAUAUGACUACAUGUCCGCAGAAUGAUUGAUUUUCUUCACAGACAGUUAAUAUUUGGUCCCUUCCCGCUUUUAUGGCUGACUGAGCCGUCGUUGGAGCAGAAUCUCAGCAUGUGAGAUGUAGAAGAUCAACAGAAGGAUGUCGGUGACAUGAACGCACCGACAGGACAGCGCGGCGUUGAACAUGGAUUUCUGUUGUUUCAGCUACUACGUUGCCUCGAAUUGAUUCAUCGCUGCCUGGGACUCUGGAUGUCUGCGGCUGAUAAAAAGGUCAUUUUCUGUACAGAUGGUGUUGGUGAGCAGAAAGAUGACGAGAACCAACAGGGCUAUGAAAUCACACACCCGGUGAAAUAUGUGCAAGGUUAUGAUCUGCCAAAACGACGGCUGAAUUACUGUUGUUGCACAACAUGCCACAAACGGAUCAAGUCCCACUGCAAAGCUGCAGCUGUUAAUGUAAGUUCACUCUUCAUUCACGUAUUUUGCGGAAAGCCAUCUUAACUUUUCCACGAAUCUGAACCAAUCACCUCGUCUUUUUCUCUAUUUCCUCCGUUUCUGACUCAACUGAAUUUUGACCAAUCCGCUUGGUUCAUUUCUAAUUUAACUUCCUGUUUCACGACGUGUCUUGCUACAUGUUCAAAGCUUGUGUCACGCUAAAUUCUAACAUUUGCCUUUUUUUUUUUUACUUUUUACCAAAACAGUUUUAAGAUGUUCAUGUAGGAUUUGCUUAUCCUGUAAAUAGUUCAUGAAAUUCUUCAUGUAGGAUUUGCUUAUCCUGUAAAUAGUUCAUGAAAUUCUUCAUUUGCACUUUGACCUCUCUUCAGGACAUGCAUUUAAUUUUAUACAGGUGUUAUUUCAAAAGGUGCUCAAAAACAUUAUUAGUGCUUUAGAUACUGACUACGUUAAGGCUUUAUCUUUUUCAGGAAUGAUAUUAUGAGCAGCGAUUUCAAUGAUUUUGUAAGUUAUGCUAUGCCAGAAAUGAAGCUUUAAAAAAAUGUUGCAACUUUUUGAAAAUGGUGCCACAAAAUCAUUCAUU